CAGCGAUUGCGUGGUGAAGAUGAGGGGCUUCAUUUUGGUCCGAAGGGCCAGGUUUUCAUUCUCCAGUUCUGUCACCUUUUUCUGGUUCUGCAUGGAUUCUUUUAGAGUAAUUCAGGAUCUUGGAUGCUGACAGGAGAACGGAGUCAACUUCAUCCUCUUCCUCAAGAUGCUUUUCUGGAACAGAACCGAGCACAGCUUUUGGCGAGGAGCUGGAAGAAAAGUCUGCUUUUCCCUGCAGAUCAACAGCUGUCAUUUCAAGCAUUUGGAAUGAACUUAGGAGCACGGCACAAAAACAAGCUCCUCGGAUCUAUUCUUAGCCACUUCUGACCAAACUGCAAGACGUCUGGGGUUUUCAGCUUUACAAGAUCUUUUUUUAAACCUGGGAUUACGGGGCUAUCACUAUGCGUCGAUGGAAUCUUCUACAGAGCGCGAUACUUGCCAUCUCGCCCCGAGGAUGUACCAAUAUGAGGGCUGUUCCUCAGGCUUGCGUUUAGAUGGAGAAGGGAACCUCAUGACGUCAACUUAAGAAGUCUUCAGUGGAUCACAGAAAUAGUGUCUACAGCUCAAAGCUUGAUCCAGGUCAAAACAUCUCUACACCCAGUCUACGUUAAGGUGCUGGCAGCGUUAAUUUCAACCUGACUCUGUCUAUUGAGAGAUGGAAUGCCAUGUUUCACAAAGGAUGGGAACAAGCGCUGGCUUUUAGGCAGGUAACUGCUGCUUUGAAGAGGCCUUGUUUAGAGGAAAGUAAGCAGGACUGGGUGCAUUGAGUCAGGUUAACUACAGAAAGUUUGGUAUGCUAAGGGGACCGUUGGAGAGACACCAAGAUCUUGGAGAUGCACAGGUGUUAGGGAAGCAGAGAUGCUUUUGAUGAGUGAAGGGUGUGAACAUGUCCAUAUGGUAAGAAGAAGAACCACAGACAAGAGACUGAGUCGGUACACUGAGCUGGAAAGAGACACAAGUAACAGAAUCACAGGUAUGAUUUGUGUUGGGAACUGGGUUGAACAGGUGGUGCUUUGUCCAUUUGGUAAAGAUGAUGGAGGCACAUGCAAUAGUGAAGACACUUUCUCUGUAAGGAGGUACUCGGAUCAGGCAGAUUGUUGACUGAGAUUUUCUGUCCUGCCCAGUUCCCACAGUUGUUAAGUCCCAAAGAAUCACACAGAGGUCUACAUUAAUUAUAUACUCAUUGGCCUAGUAGCUCA
Myodes glareolus (Bank vole) is the source of this 1199-nucleotide long non-coding RNA. RefSeq lists it as uncharacterized. Lineage: Eukaryota; Metazoa; Chordata; Mammalia; Rodentia; Cricetidae. The record is from RefSeq and is a predicted model, not a curated record.